CCUGGAGACUCCUACGGGAGGCAGCAGUGGGGAAUUUUGGACAAUGGGCGCAAGCCUGAUCCAGCCAUGCCGCGUGUCUGAAGAAGGCCUUCGGGUUGUAAAGGACUUUUGUCAGGGAAGAAAAGGCUUUUGAUAAUACCAGGAGCUGAUGACGGUACCUGAAGAAUAAGCACCGGCUAACUACGUGCCAGCAGCCGCGGUAAUACGUAGGGUGCGAGCGUUAAUCGGAAUUACUGGGCGUAAAGCGGGCGCAGACGGUUUGUUAAGCAGGAUGUGAAAUCCCCGGGCUCAACCCGGGAACUGCGUUCUGAACUGGCAGGCUAGAGUGUGUCAGAGGGGGGUAGAAUUCCACGUGUAGCAGUGAAAUGCGUAGAGAUGUGGAGGAAUACCGAUGGCGAAGGCAGCCCCCUGGGAUAACACUGACGUUCAUGCCCGAAAGCGUGGGUAGCAAACAGGAUUAGAUACCCUUGUAGUCCUAG
Molecule: ribosomal RNA, 479 nt
Filed under: uncultured bacterium
Lineage: Bacteria
Description: bacterial SSU rRNA
Rfam family: Bacterial small subunit ribosomal RNA
Source: RNAcentral